Molecule: ribosomal RNA, 549 nt
Filed under: Williopsis sargentensis
Lineage: Eukaryota; Fungi; Ascomycota; Saccharomycetes; Phaffomycetales; Wickerhamomycetaceae
Description: eukaryotic LSU rRNA
Rfam family: Eukaryotic large subunit ribosomal RNA
Source: RNAcentral
GCGAGUGAAGCGGCAAAAGCUCAAAUUUGAAAUCUGGUACCUUUGGUGCCCGAGUUGUAAUUUGAAGAUAGUUUUCUGGUGCUGGCCCUUGUCUAUGUUCCUUGGAACAGGACGUCACAGAGGGUGAGAAUCCCGUCUGGCGGGGUGUCCAGUGCUUUGUAGAUUUCUAUCGACGAGUCGAGUUGUUUGGGAAUGCAGCUCUAAGUGGGUGGUAAAUUCCAUCUAAAGCUAAAUAUUGGCGAGAGACCGAUAGCGAACAAGUACAGUGAUGGAAAGAUGAAAAGAACUUUGAAAAGAGAGUGAAAAAGUACGUGAAAUUGUUGAAAGGGAAGGGUAUUAGAUCAGACUUGGUGUUUUGUGAUUAUCUUCCCUUCUUGGGUUGUGCACUCGCAUUUCACUGGGCCAGCAUCGGUUCGGGUGGUAAGAUAAUGACAUUGGAACGUGGCACUGCCUUCGGGUGGUGUGUUAUAGCCCUUGUUGAUGUUGCCUACCUGGACCGAGGACUGCGGCUUUUGCCUAGGAUGCUGGCGUAAUGAUCUAACACCGCCC